CAUUCUUCUCGCUUCUCUUAUCAAAAUAUCCAGCGAUUUCCUCAUGAGUGGGGUGAGGAGAACAGGAACUUUUCUUCCCCGCUUUCCUACUAUUGUUAUCCGGACAAAAUGUUUGCAGAGCUUCUGCUCAAGUGGUGUCAGGGCCAAGUUUACAUCUUCAUGGUUUUCGGUUUGGUCUCCGGUUUGGUCUCUUGACAUGUAGGACAACAACGGCAUUCCGGAUACCUCUCCUUCUCUCCGGCAGUUGAAAAGAAUAACUUGUGCCAGGGUUACUCUAGCAAGAUCUUUCCAUGUUAAGGUUGAAACCUCUUGCGUCACGUCAUUCAAGAGUUGCUGCUGUUUUUUAGACAAAUGAGAAUGGAGGUUUUGGACAUUCUCUGUGAAUGGAAGGAGUUGAGGAGAAUUCCACUUGGCCUGGUCUAGUUGAGUGAGCGCUUGGCUUGCAUUGCAAAAUUUCCAACUCUCUUGGUAUAACUGUGCAAAUUCUGCAGCAUCUUGGACUGCUUCUUUAUCCCUUGACUUAAAUCCUUCAGAUUUUAUGGCCAAAGAAUGUAAGCUGUGGCCAACCUUCCAAGCGAGAGAUGGACGUUGAUGUGUUGCAGUUUUGUCACUAAAUCCAGCUAGGCAUCAGCAGUGACAACAUGACCAUGUAGGCGUGGUUCUCGCACUCCGCUCCAGCUGGCGGGCUUCCAGCUGCUCCGAGCGGACCGCGAUACGGAGCUCUCCGGCAAGACGAAGGGUGGAGGAAUCUGCUUCUACUUCAACAACAGCUGGUGCAACAACGUAACGGUAAUCCUAAAACACUGUUCUCCUGAUCUGGAAACUUUCUUCAUCAACUGCAAACCCUUUUACUCUCCCCGUGAGUUCGCUUCAUUCAUCCUGGUUGGUGUUUACAUGCCGCCGGCGGGCAACGUGCACGAGGCACAGCGGACACUCGCCGACCAGAUACGGCGUGUGGAGCGGACCAACCCGGACUCUUUAGUUAUUGUCCUCGGGGACUUUAACAAAGGAAAUCUCGCCCAUGAACUUCCUAAAUACAGACAGUUUAUUAAAUGCCGUACCAGACUGCUUUAAGGCCUCCACCAUCAUCCCUGUCCCCAAGAUGCCCAGGAUCACAGGACUCAAUGACUACAGGCCCGUCGCCCUGACCUCUGUAGUCAUGAAGUCUUUUGAACGCCUAGUCCUGACCCACCUGAAGUCCCUCAGAGACCCCCUCCUGGACCCCCUGGAGUUUGCCUACAGAGCCAACAGGUCUGUGUACGAUGCUGUCAACACUACAUCCUCCAGCAUCUGGACUCCCCAGGAACCUACGCCAGGAUCCUGUUUCAUUAAUUAUGUAAACAAAUUAAUGAAACUACAUAGAUCACCCAAGUCCAGAUUUAGGGAGAAAAGUGUCUGAUUUACUCUUUUACCUUUUGUACUGGCAACAUUUGUUUCCUGAUUCCUCAUAAUGUAAAUGCAACAUCCUUGUCUUUACUGACAAAACAGAAGCCCGAUGGUUUGUCACUUGGUAUUCAGAUAAAUAAAAAAACAAUAACUAAUAUAGAUUUGAGAUCACACUGUGAGCAGUAGAUCCACUAGCGGAGUUAGUGAGCCAAUUUAAAUAGAUUUCAAAUUCCCAAACCGAUGAAUCCGUGUAUAUAACCACCUUUUGACGCCAUGGCCAUUUUGAAUCAAUUUCAGAUCCCACUUCUUUCUAUGUUCUUUACAGCAAAAAUGAACAAAUGUGGCCUGUUGUUUACAGUUUGGAGAUUUGUGGUUGUCAUUCACUAAUCUUCCAAGCGAUCCAUCUCUCUUCAAUACUCAAAGGAAUGAGAAAACUACCGGUUAAAAUAUGUAUGUAUGUAACAUAUAUAAAAUUUCAUAAAGUCUGAACAUUGUCAAGUUUACCAGUGAUUGCUUAAAAUGGAUAAAAAAAAAUAAAAAAAUGGAAUAAAAUUGUUGCGAUUCACAGAGCAUGUGCGUUUAAAAGAUUCUCCCUGCAUUUAUGAGCUCAGGGACACGGAACACCUCCGCAGUCGUUGGCGGUGGCUCGGGGACAGGGAACACCUCCGCAGUCGGCGGCGGCGGCUCGGGGACACGGAACACCUCCGCAGUCGUUGGCGGCGGCGGCUCGGGGACAGGGAACCCCUCUCGCAGUCGGCGGCGGCGGCUUGAGGACAGGGAACACCUCCGCAGUCGGCGGCGGCGGCUCGGAACACCUCCGCAGUCGUGGCGGCUCGGGGACAAAGGAGGCAGGAGUUGCCAGCUGGAGGGAGCAGGAAGCCCCCGGAGUCGCAACCCCUGCCAGGACCCCACCCCUCAAGGGCCGGAUCCCAGACGGCCCUCAAAUCACCAACGGAGGGUGGGAGAGGACCACGGGGUGGGAGGGAGGGAACCCGAGUCGGAGAGCGGGGACGUCGGAGUCAUGAGUCUCGAGGCAGGCACCGGCGGCGUUGGGGUCAUGAGUCUCGGGGCCGGUACUGGCGGCGUCAGAGGAGCAAGUCGGGGAACGGCAAAGGGAGACGGCUGCGGCGGCCCAGCGGGAACGGGAGACGGCAGGAGAUCGCUUCUUCCGCUUGCUCCUCCUUCGAGGGUUAAGGAGGUCCCGGAGCUCGAGGCAGGCGAGCUGAUAGCUCCUGGGACCAAAAAUAAAAUCUGUCUUCCGCUGCCAGAAGGGACUUCUUACGUCCAAGUCGUCCGGACCGUAGUCUGGCAGCGGGUCUGCUGAGUCCCAUGGUGGCGUCAUUCUGUCAGAGUUGGACAGGAAGGAAGGACUCAAACGCAGACAUUGAAAGCAAAAGGACGUUAAUAGUAAAAACGCCGGCUGGCGGCCAAUUUACCUGGGAGCACUUAUGCUCCCAGGUAAAGUUUGUUUGUUCUGCAGUCAAAUCUCACCAACAAAACAAUACAGCGCCAGGACGUGUCAAAACAUUGGCUUAAUGUGCACUACAAGACCUCUUUAGCUUGGGAAAAUUGAAAGCAUGGUUUUCUAAGUCCAGUUGAUAAUAAAAACCGCAGCAAGGUCAUCACACAAUCACGGUGAUUUAUGUGAGAGGUUACAUUACAGGUCAUUUAGCAGACGCUUUUAUCCAAAGCGACUUACAUUACACUUUAAACCCAUGGCUUUUUCACAUUUUGCCCGGGUUGAGUUACUCGCACAAGUUGUGUGGCGGUAGGUAAAAGGAAGGCUUAAUUAGAUGGAUUCCGAUACGUGAUCUUUAACAAUUAGCAACAUACAUAUCUGCAAAUAAUGACAUAGUUGCCUAGAUUUACAUUUUUUAGGAUUUAAUGUAGAACAAUCUCAAGAAUGUUCAUAAGUGUACGUGGUACCUUAGCAUCUUAGAUCGAUGAUCGAUUUUACAACCGUAUUGUCUGAUCUGAGGCCACAUAUUUUGGACACUCUGGUAAACAGAGCGGCAGAGCUGUCAAUUGAUCACCAUCUGGUGGUGAGCAGGGUCAGAAGAUGGGGGAAGGAUGAACCAGGUAAACCCAAGCGUGUAGUGCGGGUGAACUGGGAACGUCUGGAGCAGGCUCCGAUCCAAAAACUUUUCAACUCACACUUCCGGCUGAGCUUCUCACAUUCCUGUUGAGGUAGGGGCCAUUGAACCAGAAUGGUGUAGGUUUAAAACUUCUAUUGCUUGAGUUGGGGCCUCAAGGUCUGAGCUAAUUUAAGGGGCGGUAACCAUCAAACCUGGUCAACGGUGGUCAGGGAAGCUGUCUGACUGAUGCCUUCCGGCUUAUAAUAUUUCGUGGGACUCUGGAGGCAGUUGCAGUGCAUCAACGGGCUCGAAGGGCGGCAGCGUCUGCCGUUGAGGAGACAAAUCAAGUGUGGGAGGAGUUUGGGGUAGCUAUGGAGAAGGACUUUCAGUUGGCAUCAAAGUGCUCCUGGAAGAUCUCUGGCACCUCAUGAGGGGGAUAGGGAAACCAUUCAACCUGUGUACAGUAAGGAUGGGAACCGUUGACUGCAACUUAGAAGGUUAUUGGGCUGUGGAAGGAUCACUUUGAGGAACUCCUGAAUCCAACUACUACGCCCUCGUAAGUAGAGAUAGAGCUGGAGGCGUAUGAGGGAUCAUCGUCAAUUUUCCAAGUGGUAGUUACAGAAGUUGUCAGACAACUCUGCAGUGGCAAAGCCCUCGGGAUUGACGAGAUCCAUCCAGAGAUGCUGAAAGCAAUGGAUGUUAGGGGGUUGUCUUUGAUGACAUGGCUCUUCAACUUUGCGCGGAAGUCUGGGACAGUGCCAAAGCCGACCGGGGUGGUGUUACCUCUCUUCAAAAAGGGUGACCAAAGAGUGUGUGCCAAUUACAGGGGUAUCACACUACUCAACCUCCCUGGUUAACUACUCAAAAAGGUGCUGGAAAGGAGGGUUUGGCUGAUAGUCGAACAAAGGAUUGAAGAGGAACAAUGAAGUUUCCGUCCUGGAACGACAGAUCAACUCUUUAAUCUUUCCAGGAUUAUGGAGGGGACUUGGGAGUAUGCUCAUCCAGUCUACAUGUCUUUUGUGGACUUGGAGAAGGCGUAUGACCGGGUCCCCCAUAAGAUGUGGGAGAAGCUGCAGGAGCACAGGGUGUGAGGGUCCCUACUUGGGGCCAUUCAAUCCCUGCAUGCCCUAAGUGAGAGCUGUGUUUGGGUCGUAAGUGUUUCCGGUGGGGUUUGGCCUUCGCCAGGGCUGCACCUUGUCACCAAUCCUAUUUUGGUUUUCAUGGACAGGAUAUUGAGGCGUAGUCGGGGGGAGGAGAGUAUACAGUUCGGAGGGCUUCAGAUAUCGUUGCUUUUUGCAAAUGAUGUGGUCCUGAUGGCAUCGUCAUCUUAGAUCAGGCCAUUACUAUGUUGAUGAACAGAAGUUCCAUAAUUGAUGCGAGGAGAGACUGUGAGACAGUUUACGGCUCAGGUAAGGGCAAUGACAUGUCUAUCACAAGGUAGCACUAGCCCUAAACAUUGAACAGACUGUUGCAUUCACAACAGUUGAGUUAAAACCAAAUAGACUGUAUAAAAAGUGGAGGAAGUCGCCUUUUUAAAGCAUGUACUGACCGGUUAAUAACAAGUCUAUUCGGCAAAAUGUUGCAUUAUUAAGGAUUCCUUAACAUAUAAUUUGACUGUUGACAUUAAAUAAUAAUAGGUGCAACUCAGAUGGCUGUAGAUGUGCAAGAAGGUUUCGCUAUCACUUCCCAGAGUUCCUAGUAGAAUUAUAUAGAGUUCAUUGGACGAACAAAAGAGCAGCAAAACUUUUUUUUAAUCACAAAACCAAAACUAAUCCACAGGGCAAUGUUAUAUUGAAUCUGAUUGUCAGGAUGCAGGGAAGGCAGGACUGAAAUGCAGAGUUUCAAACAAAAAAAGAGACUUUAAUGGUCAAAAACUCAAAAAGCCCAUUGAAGAAAACUGCCACAUAUUCACCACCAAAAUACUGAACAAUAACUGGUUCAUAUCUUUUAGAUUCUUUGUUAAAAAAAACCUCAUUUAAAACAGGUGUCUGCGUUACCUUAUAUAACGAUAAUUUAUACUGCACAUUGAAAUAAUAUAGUCUUUUUAGUGCUCCUGCCCCCUCUUUCUCUGAAGAACCUGCCGGCUUGUUUUCAUGGCUGUCGGCAUUUUUGGCCUCUCGCUUCAUCUUAUUUGUGUAUUCUGGUUAAUUGCCUCUGUUUAUAUUCAGCAAUGCAUUGCCUUUUUUAAUUUCGGCCUGCUCUCCUUUGCUAUUUCUUCCGCUUUGUUCCUGUCAACUUGUUCCAUCAAAUCACGAAAAGCUCCCCUCCCUCCCUCCCUCACUCCUCCUCCUCCUCCUAUCCUCCUUCCUCUCACUUUCUCUUUUCUCACACUCUCUAAAAGCAAAUUGUAUUCUAUAAAUGUUAAUUAGCAUGCCAUGGUCUAGGGGAUAAGAGUAAUGGUGUACAUGGGGCGCUGGUGGAGAAGAAUUCAUUACCACCCGAGGCACCUGCUAGAUUAUAAACAAGUAGCAAACACUGAUAAUGCUGCCGGUUUGCCUGUCUUCCUAAUGGAGAAGUUUACAAAUGAGGACAGCCAAGGAAACCUAUCACAAGUACAAAAGUUUGUAGGCACAACAUUUAUAUGGUUAUUUUACAACGCUCAAGAUGAUUAUCUCGGUAUAUUUUUUAUUGAGUCUAAUUUAAAAUUAAUCAUUCACAAUAUAAUAAAUUAGACAGAAGAAUGUGUAUUCACUUGCUUUCUUACAGGGAGUGCCUUUGACCCAUUGCAAAGACCGGUUUAGGAAGAUUGAAAAGCUAAACAGAUGUAGACAAAAAGCCAAACUAUUCACACUCGCAAUUCAUCAAAUAUUGCUUCUUUCCCCUCAUUGUCUGCAAUGAACGCACUGAGGCACUCUUUGAUGUCUGUAUGGGCAAGUGGGAGAGAGUUUGGAUUGACCUGUUGAUGAGAAUUAUGAGUUCUACUACUGAACUUUUGAACUGAAACAUUAAUGCAGUAACGCCAGUCACAUACCAACUAGUUGUUUUACAACUGACCUACAUUCUCAUUCCAACUGGUUAUAGAGUUUAUGAUCAAGAGGUGUGUCUGAAGAGUCGGACUACUGACAAAAGUUUAAUACCAGCAUAAAGGUCAAGGCAAAAACUAUAAAAUAUGAAUGGCCUUAUUCAGAAGUGUUUGGUUUGUGCUUUAGGCAACAGCAUUCAUUGUGUGCAAUCUCCAGGGGUCUCAAACUCAUUUCAGGUUCGGGCCAGAUGCGGCCCACUUCGACCGAACGUGGGCUAGGCCAUUACAGUCGACGAGGGGUGGUGCCAGAGUUACACUAUACACUAUUGUUCUGAGCGAACGCCACCAAACUUCAGUCAACAGGGUUUUCUCAAGCUAACGUUAAGUAUUUCAAGACACGUAAGGUUAUACCGUGGCAAAUAGAAAAGCAUUUUGUUAGACCCAGCAUACUAGCAAUCAGUUAGUUUCUCAAGCAAUGCAAAAAAAGACUUAUGGAGAAGCAGACACAUGCAAGUAAGUCUAUUUCUGUUAAUAUUCAGAUACUGAGUGCUGCGGUAUCAUAAUGUCAAACAGUGAUAUGUCAAUUCCUUUUUUGCCACUUUAAAUUGUUCUGUUUUAAUUUAACAUGAUAAUUUAGUGACAUGUGUAACAGGAUGGCACGGAGGAUUCCGAAUCACGGGCAGCGCAGCAGUAAAGAGGCGGAGGGUGUCGUUGAAGCAAUUAAAUCACACAAAAUAAAGAAACAGACAACUACGGGUAUCUCCCACGUUCAUCAAAACCAACUCAACGUUACGCUAGCCGGGGUCCUCUCCCAAUCUGUCUCUUCUCACUACUUCUUCCGCCUUCUUUUUGAACCCCGCUUGAUGAGUAUGUCCAGGUGUGUCUCCUGGCACACCUGAUAGCGAGGAGCUUGAUUCCGAUGACGUAGGCGGCAGGCCUUUGGAUGGAACAUGCACCCACUUUACUACUCCGCCCCUCAGCCCUUUAACUACACAGGCCCUUCAUCAUGUGUAAAGAAACAUCCAUGUUUCUGGCCAUGUGAACAUCCAUUCAUCUGCAAACCGCUUAUCCUGCACACAGGGGGCUGUAGUCUAUCCCAGCCAACUUCAGGCAAUAGGUACACCCUGGAUUUGUCACCAGUCAAUCGCAGGGCUAACACAGAGACAACCAACCAUUCACACUCACGUUCACACACCUAGGGGCAAUUUAGAGUUACCAAUCAACCUGAUCCCCAGUGCAUGUCUGUGGGAGGAAGCCAAAGUAUACUUUGGCUCCACAUGUUUAUAAACAUGUGACACACCAAGCAGGAGAGGUGGGGAAGGAAGACAUCACUAGGUUAGCUGCUAAGCUAAUAUAACGUUAGCUAAUGCUAAUAGAAGUAACGUUGAUGCUAAACAACGUCUAAGCAUCUAUUCGAUUGAAUGAAAAAUUGCUAGACUGCAUAGAUAACAGAUUAUUUGCUGCUUGUGCUGAAAAAUAUUACGCUACAAUCAAUUCAGUAUAGCUAGAGCUGUGAAAAGCUGGCAACAGACACGCUGGCAACAGGAAGUGACGCAACACGCUUACCGUGACAGGAUGUGACAGUGAUCAGUGUCCCCGUGCAGCUAUCCUAUUCUAAGCAGUUUAAUCAAUUAACACAUCUAAAUGAACUGUGCUAGGGCACAGGUUUAUACACCAAGAAAUAUUAAAUCGAGAUGACAUUUGUCAACACAAGUUCAAAGACAAAUUAUAUUAGUUAACGUAGAAUUUUAAGGCAGUCCUUUCACUCAUUUAAACUCGAACAACUAGGCCUGUCGCAAUAUGGGAUAAAAUUACAUAUCGCACAGUCUGAUAUUGAGUGCAAUCAUUUUAGGUGCCGCGAUAUUCAUUUUACGUAUAAAUGAACAUCACCAACACUUAAGUUGAUCACGCUGCUGUGGAAAGCGGGGGCGGGGCUUAGGCAGAGCAGAGCGGACACAGACAGACCCAACUAAGCUAAAAUCUCACCUAAAACAACAACCAUCAAGUUCAAAAACAUGUCUUAAUAGACAAAGACCAAUGUGUGCAUGUGUGUUAAGUACCUCUCUGGGUACUACCAUGCUGAAUAUGAAGUAUUUUUACUGGGGCUGUCAAUAGAUUAAACCAAAUUAACAAAUUUAAUUGCACGUUUUGAAAUUCAUUGAUCUCGAUUAAUGGCGAUUAAUGCAGGUUGUUGGUGUUACAAUGUUUGUUUUUAUCCUAAAGACUAAAUCUUUAGAACGUGAGUAUUUUAGACACUUGUUUAAUUGUUAGUUAUUUUUAACACAAAAAAUACACACAUUUGAUCAUCUUGGAGACAGAAUUCCACCUGGUGGAACAUGUUGAACUAGCGACUCUUCCUGCUGUCCUUUUGCUCUUAACUCGCCAUAAUUGAACGGCUGUGCUUGAUGUGCCAACAAUCUCCCCACAUUUAGCCAGGACGUUUUCAAACCAUGGCCUUUUAGGGACACAGUGGCGGUCCUCUGCUGACUGUGUGCCACGCACACGGGUAACGUUAGCUGUUGAGAUGGAAGUAGCAUAGCAGCUAGCUUAACAAAGCAGUGCUUUAAGUGGUCCCUUUGCUAUCCACCCCCCUUCUGUUUGACACGUUGAGUAAUUCCUCUGCACAGUUAUCUGCUGUAUGUCGCACUACUGUUUGUUUUACUUCCAAUACAAAAAGCUCUCUUCAUCUUGAUGUAACUAACUGCAGUUAGCGGCUGUUUUGUUUCCGCGGUCAACUUCCGGUUUAAUUGUUAAACGUAAAAAUAUUUUGUUGCAUUAAUCUAGGCCACAUUAAUGGUAUAGAUUAAUACAUUAAUGUUGACAGCCCUAAUUUUUGUGUACAGAUUUGGAGAUCUAAUAGCUAUAUGUUAAAAAAGACAAUAAAAACAUUCUUCCGAAUAAUUCCCCACAAAGACCAAUGUACAUGUGUUAAGGACCUCUCCAACUACUCUUGUACGAAAAAUUAAAUGUUUUUACUGUUCAAAGUACAUUUUACCGAACAAAAUGUUUGAUGCAAAAGAUGAGAAAAAACACUCAUAAUUUAUCCGACUAUACCAUUGGAUUACAAUUUAAAAAUGUGCAUGUGCGCUUUUCCCUUCAUCAUCUUAAAUAUUACACGAUUUAAUCAGUUGUUACGUUAUGAAAAAUGUAUUACAUUUAUUUAUUUUUAAUUAUUCCAUUCCAAAUUGAAUGUAUCAAUUCAUGUUAUCUCCACCAUAACAACCUUCUUGACCCCCACCAGUCAGGCUUCAAGGCAGGCCAUUCCACAGAGACUGCUCUCCUUGCUGUCUCAGAGCAACGCCACACUGUCAGAGCCGCCUCUCUCCUCUGUCGUCAUCCUUCUGGACUUUUCUGCUGCAUUUGGCACAGUAAACCAUCCUUAUUUCCUCCCUUCAGGAACUUGGCGUCUCAGGCUCUGCUCUCAUCCUACUUUGAUGGCCAGACUUACCGUGUAACUUAGAGAGGAUCUGUGUCAAAACCUUGUCCUCUUACUACCAGAGUUUCUCAAGGAGCCGUCCUGGGUCCCCUCCUCUUCUCUCUCUACACCAACUCUCUCGCCUCUGUCAUUCGCUCACAUGACUUCUCCUACCACAGCUAUGCUGAUGACACCCAACCAAUUCUCUACUUUCCACACUCGGACACCCAGGUGGCGGCACAGAUCUCUGCCUGUCUGACUAACAUCUCUCAGUGGAUGUCCGCUCACCAUCUGAAAAUCAACCCCGACAAGACUGAACUACUUCCCCUACCUACGACCUGACUGUUACUAACUUUGGGAACUUCGGUGUGACACUCGACAGCCAACUCUCCCUGACUCCCAACAUGAGUGCGACAACACGAUCCUGUAGAUACACGCUUUACAACAUCAGGAGAUUACGUCCUCUUCUCACUCAGAAGGCAGCGCAGGUACUGAUUCAGGCUCUUGUCAUCUCCCGCCUGGACUACUGUAACUCUCUCCUGCAGGUCUCCCUGCUACCGCCAUUCGACCUCUGCAGCUCAUCCAGAAUGCAGCAGCUCGACUGGUCUUUAACCUUCCUAAAUUCUCCCACACUACUCCACUUCUCCCUUCACUGGAACUGAACUGGAUGCGGGCAGCCACCGGUAGCAACAUUGGAGCUCACGUACCAUGCUGUGAAUGGAUCGGUUCCAGUCAUGGUCAAACCCUACAUCCCAACACACACAUCUGCAAACCUGCUUGUCCCUCCCUCACUGAGAGCAAAACACAGUGAGGGAGAGUGUCGAUUUUAAAGAAUGGCGGAGGCAGCUCCCGAUACCGCACAAAAUUGUAUUUGCUAAAUUUGUGUUUUUGUUUAGGAAUGCUUGGAGCUGACCGCAGCGUGGCUAGCCAGACGGUGGUGGGGCUGGUAACUGGGCCUCUCACUUGCUCCUCACAUUUUCAGUUGGGCGUCUGGGUAUUUACAUUUUCAGAAUUGCAUGCUUUUGGCUUUGAUUCAUAUCGUUUGGCGUGAGUGUGUGUGGAGCACUGGCCCCAGUGAGGGUCCUGUCCCCCUGCAGCCUAGCUACCAAUAGAACCCAAUUUGUUUAUUAAAACCCUUUGAUUGUUGUUUUACUACAUUCCCAGAGCUGACAUGAUAUGAAACAAUUUAUUAAAGUUAUUCCUAUUUUAAUGAUAGAUUUAUUUGACAGAUGUUCAAAUAAAUGUUGUACUCUGGGGGAAUACUUUGCCUUGGUCUGUCUGCUUUGGUCAUCGGUGGGUCUGUAGUUGUUGUGUUUCAAGUUAUAAAUCAAAAGAAUAAGGUGUUGUGCUAAAAAGCUCAGGAGCCGCUGGUUUCUGCAACCAACAGGCCCCAGGGCCCUUUGACCAUCCCUAUAGUGCCUGUCUGUUGCCUCUACCAGCGAACUCGAGAACACUGGUUGCCUACAGGUAUUUUACAGUGCAGUAAGGUAAGGUGUGAAAGUUUGUGUCCACACCUCCUUGGAGUGGUCUUCUGGUGAGUUGUGGUUCAAAUGCAUUGUUCUCGAGUUCUCUGGUGGAGGCAACAGACAGUCACUAUGGGUGGUCAAUGGGCUACCCUGUUAAUUGCAGUGACCAGCUAAGAUGUUCUUUUUAGCACAACACACUUUCUUUUAUUAAAUACUUUGGAUUUUAACUCUUCAUCCAAGGUGUCUUCUGUCCGUCCAGAGUUUCCUUUUUUUAGCACAACAGGAACAAGAUCUUUUUGUGAUGGCAUGUGAUCUACCGCCACUGCCUUGGCGUGAUCAACCUAUUGGGUACCUCCUGGUGUAUUGCCACAUCCAAAUACUAUUCCAGAGCAAUAGUGGGAGCUGCCAUGCAGGGACCUUAGCUCUGUGUCCUUUAGUCUGAGCACUCUCUUUAAGCAAUAAUUACUAACCAAGAAACUGCUUUGAAUCCAAGCGUCAGAAAAAAAAUGUAAUAUUCAUCCUAGCGGCUGCUCUUUCAGUGCAUUAUAAUUGCAUUCCAAUAAAAUGCACUUUAGGAACGAUGUUGUAUCUGCCAUUUUCAUAUCAUCUUCAGACCUGAGCGUUGUAAUGAAUUAUUAUUAUCAGUCCUGACACAGGUUCCUUCCUAUCGUCCCCCACUCUCUGCGUAGUGAAUAAAUAGGGUGGGAUUAUCAGGUCACUUAUAGUCCACUGACAUUUUUGUAUUUGAAAUGAGCCACACUAUGUGUUGGCAAUUUGCCUUCCUACGGCAGCGCUCGAUAAAGCAGAGCCAAUUAAAAAGCCGCAAAUUGUUGCUUUUGGCGAAGUCACGCAUGAAAAGCACGCAUUUCAUGUAAGUUGCAAUGGAGAUUGCACAGGCUGUAUUCAUAUGAGUGUGGAAAAUAUAACCAGGAAUGGUAGUUUGUUUGACAUCAUCAGUCAAGUCGCGUGGCGUUAUUUUUGCAAUACCUCUGGCAGACAAUCCUUGAAACAAUAUGAAACCCAUUACAGGGGAUCUGGACAGCAUGUUGGAUUCUUUGUCUUUCAUGGUAUUGAAUAAGCAACUGAAUGACGCCCACUACGGGAUGAAUGAUGGGAGGCAAAAACUGCAUCCCUGAGGUUUCAAAUGAUUAUCAACUCUACAGAAUGAGAACAUUUUGCUUUGCGUGUGUAGCACUUGUCUGGGACUAGUAUUAGAAAAAGCACUAAAUAUAUACCUAGAUUUGAAGGAGAGGUAGGCUUAAGACAAAGAACAAGUUGAACGAAUUACCAGUUUAUUGCUUCACAAUUGGUCAUGCAACAAUCACAAUAUAAAACAGUGUAAAAUAAAAAAAGAAGAGUAGAUUGUUGGGAAAUUGUAUGAUUCUUGUGAAAGAACUCUGUCUUUCCAGUGUAGGUAUAUGUACAGUUCCCACGAUAUAAUCCGUUCAGUGCUGGAAAGUUCCACGAGUUCGGUUCUGGUUCAGGUCUUAAUGUAUACUGUAUCUCUAAACUACCUUACUACCGGUCUACCUGACGGCAGGACUAGGAUCUGAUGUCUGCUAAGCGAAUCAGGUUCUGCCUGAAUCAUACUGUAGGCCACACCGCAUCCACGACCUUUUAAACAUUGCUAGAGGUGGUUUUAGCCUUUUUCAAGAGUUGUGAAGUCCUCUGGUGCCUGUUCUGCCUGUUGUUUGUUUCGUACCAUUCAUUCUGCAAGUAAAAGUUCCAAACCUGGUUCAACUAAGUCAAUCAAAUGUCUGAGAUGAUUGACAUCAGGCUAUCUCUGUUCCUCGAAGGCGGAUCGGCGCUCAAAACGUCUCGUUAGUCUGAACCAGAUGUCAGUCAUCAGGAUGUUUUGACCCCGUUUUGACGUGAGGCCUUCGGCAGAGUAUUCCUGAACAUAAUACUUGCAUUGUUUUUUGGGAGGAGGAUGCUUGCCUUCAUACUUUUGUGAGGAAUUAGUGUUCGGUCUGUUUUGUAGAGUAGGACCUUCUCCUGAGAUGUAUCGUCAAAAUAUAUCCAAAUAGAUUAAACCUUUUUGAUUGAUUUUGAUUCUGUCUAUAACAAGACCUAAAAGCAAACCCAGUCCAGUCAGAGUAAAUCACAAUAAAAAAAUGGAUUAGCUGUGUCCUCGCGUAAACCACACCAGACAGUCUGGUUUCCUAUGCGUCCCUAAUUUCUCCACUAUUGCACAACAAAUGUAAUAAGUUUUUCAUCACAUUUUAUAUGGAUGAGCCCGUCAAUCUGACUGCCAUAGAGCAACGAUUAGGAAGGGGGUGAAUGUUUUGAUGAACAAUAUGUAUAUUGUAUAGUUUCUUUAUAAAGGGGCAAAAGUGAAGAUAAUUAUUCAUGAAAAUAAGAAGGAACCCAUUAUUGUGCUGCUUGACAUAGUAAUGUGUUACACUACAGUAUUAUUGGCAAAAAUAUGACACAAAACUCAAAAAGUAGCCCCAACACUGUGUGUACAUCUGGGUUUGCAGUCUACCGGUGAGAGAAAAAAGGAGCGGCUUGGGGGGGGAAGAAGACGGGCAUGCUACAUUUUCUUUUUCUCUUACGUCAGGCUGCUGCUGACGCAACAGUAAGCAGCAAAUAUGUAAUGGUAUUGCUUGAGUGGUUUGUGCACUUGUUGACUGUAUGCCGAACAGAGUUGGACUUAGUUUGCAGGUAAAGAGGCGUUUAGGCUUUUUAGUAUGCAGCUCUGCGCCUCCUCACAUGUCCAUGAGCAGCAGCCUUGCUUCCAAUGCCACUGACAGCCUAAGGAAACAAAGUAGCAGCUCUGUGAAAAAAUAAGUCAUGCCACUUAGUCAUUGUAGGAAACCAAAAAAAGUGUUCAGGUUUGCUAAUAUUACUAAUCAACAUGGUUGUUGAUGUAUACCUUUUUGAUGAACAUCCGAUUUCUCAAGCCAAAAAAAUUGGGAGACUACCAUUGAAAAGGAGGGGCGCCAGAACACAACAUUAAUGUAAUGUACGGUUCCCUUUCCUGUCCAUGGUCACGUUUACAACGCGCUCGGGAUCGCGCUGCGCGGAUACGUACACAUGCUCCCAUCAGCGGAGCAGAAAGCGCGUCGUCGGUGUUCGUCUGCACCUCCCCCCCCCCCGGCUGGUCUCACGCCAAGGUUUUUGGAAAAGUCGGCAGCUCUGUUUCCCUGUUUCUAAAUAAAUCUAUUAGAAUCAAGUUGAUGUCUCGAGUUCCAUUUUGAGAGUCGCUACAGUAUUGUAGCGAUCGGAGCGGCAGAUUGCGUUAGGCUGCGCUGGUAGGCGCAUUGCAUUAUGGGACAAUCUUUGGAUGCAUUUAAAUCCCUAUCUGUUAUGUUCAUGUUCUAGUGUUUAAGUUUCUGUAUGUUUUUCUAGGUUCUGUUGUGCCCAAAUGUUACUGUUUAAUGUGUAAGAGUGUGGGCACCAUGACCCAAUUUAGUAUGGCUGUGGGUGAAGUUCUGUGUUCAACGCCUGAAUUAAGCGAUCAUCUCCUGGGGUCUUGCCAAAACUCAGCGAAACUAAUUCAAGUCUCCUGUCUCGUUCAUCUGGCCAAGCUCGCCACAGUAUUUUACACAACAGUAGGAGUAGUCUAUACACAACACAUGAGUGUCACAAAAUUUCUCGUGAUCGACUGCUACUCAGCCCGCGACUUGUUGGGCACAUCUGCUAUACACCAUGUGAGGCAACUGCGCGUGCGCACACACGCACACACACACUUGUCUUUAUUGUAUUAUAAGACCUCCUGACAAGAACACCACUUCUGGAACCCACCCUGUCUGAAGGUUGUACAGCACUGUAAAAAAUCAGGCAUUAUUUUUGAGUGGACCUUAACAGCGAUAUCACUUUAAAUUAUCAAUCAGACGAAGUUUAGUCCCCCGACCUGAGUAGGCUCUCACUUCAGGGGUCUUGUGGGGUAUUUAGAUAUUUAUGAGGUCAAUAUAUACACACUUUCCAGUUUUUCUUCAUUUCUGAGAACCAAUUUACACACAGUCAGGUUAAACUUAUUUUGAGGGAACCGCUAACAAUUUUGAUUGUCAAGGUAAUUGCUGUAGAACUAUAAUGCAGCAAAUCCAUCUCGAGUGGCAAUAUGUGUUACACUAUUGCAUCUCGAGCAAUAAAAUCCUAUUAUUAAAGAUUUUAGGUCACGUAUGACAAACAAUAGGGUUACCAUUUGCUGCCAGAUAAAAAGAAACAAGUAUUAAAUACACUGAAAGAUGUUAUUAAGAUGAUCAUAAUGUCAGCAUUACUGCUCCCACAGAGAGAUGUAGGCAGCGGAAUACAUUUUGCAUUCAAACUUUUAUUGAAUACUUUUUCAAAUGUCAACAAAUACGGAGUAAAGAUUAUGACAAAAUUAAAUCAGAGGAAUAGGAAAUUGACAAUAUAAAAAUAUCAACUGAGAUGACUCAAAUGAGUAAUUAUGAAUUAAGAGUGGAGAACAGGUGAAAUUAGAUUACAUGAGAUAAUUUUACUACCGUAAAAUGAGGUUAGAUGAGGUGAUGGGAAAUUAAAGGUAAUGAAGUGACAGACAAUAGAAAACAAAUAAGAAGGGGAGAUGAGUGGUGAUAGUAUGAAAGAUGGCAACAAGGAGCUAGAUGAGCUGAGAUAAAAUGAGAAAUUAGGAGAUAUUGAACAUGUUACAUUAAAUGUGGAAAGCUAGGAAGGGAAGAUGACAAAAGGUUAAGUUACAGAUUAGGUGAGGAGAUGAAACAAGAUACAGAGACCUAAUAAACUUAGUAUUUGUUUCACUAACAAAGUACAGAAGGAUAUGAUGUUAUCAUACCAUCAACGAACAGCAGCAGUUUGCUAUCAACGAAAGGCCACUAACUUGAACAGUAAGUAAAUGACAUGGGGUAGUCAACACUAAACAUUACCUAAAGGAUAUCAUUUUAAACAUGUGACACAGAAAACACGUGUCAACAGCCAUGCUGACUUUAAACUUUUCUCUUGAGAGCUGUAAUUCGAUUCUUGAUGUAACAUUUUAGGGCUGACCAAUUUCGUUUUUUAAUUUCAAUUUCAAGGCACUUAUCAGUCAGUUUUUGCAGAAACACGACAUUAAGUGAUGAAGCACAUCAUGUGCUUCUCUACAGCGACGAUCUCCUCAGUCUCCCACAUCCUUCUCUGGAAUGGUUGGCGACCUGCACGACAAUUAGCGUAAUUAUUCGUAAGUAUUACGAAAUGUUAUGGUUUUGUCCCUCAAUUGCUUAUUAUGUGUAUAGUCAUUGUGUUGAAUGCUAUGACUUCUACCUCUGGCAGAAUUACUUCUUCCAGGUACAUCUUCUGCUCAACUUCUGUUCCUGAUGCAGGCAGGAUGGUCUCCAAUCUCUAUCAUCUCUGUAGUCUAACACGUUUAACAUAAGUUUGUUAUUAUUAUUAUUACACAAAAAUACAGACCUUUUUGUAGAAGCCGUGGUUGCAAUUUUGUCUUUGGAUAUUAUUUUAAUUGCAUUUUAUAAAUUUACUAUUGACAUGUAACAUAAAAAUACUAGUUAUUUACUAUGUAAGAGUUGAUAAAACAUAUUGUGAAAAAAUAACAAAUUUUGAUGUUUGUUAUGUGGUAACAUGUGAAUGUCUUUGGCAUACCCGAAUUUCAUCCAACAAUGUGUUGUUGGUGGCGUACUUCAUCUUAAGCCCAGGAUAAAACCCCUUGUUGUGGUGGAGAUAGACUCUGUUGGACAGAAGCUUGCCAUCUUUUAGGUUUUGGUCCAUAUCCUUUGAACAGCAUGAUACAUCACAUGUUAAAGUAGUUCAUCGCAAUCGAAUGGGAGUAAGGCAAAGACAAAAAAAAAAACAAGGACUGUCAGUGGCACCAAAGAAAACACCCCCCCACUCCCAUUGACCGGUGCCUUGCACCCAAAAAUACAGUGGGUGGCGCUCACUCUAGCCCAGGGUACCAACAACAGGUACACCUACGUGUAUGCAAUAUGUAAACCCCGGAGUAUAUUACCUGUCCUCAUUGACCCUGUGCGUACAACCAAAAGAUAUCACAAAAACACCAGUAGAUUGUUACUAAUUCAAUUUUAACACAAGACAGUGCUCCAGCUCAACACAAAAGAGCCUCCCCCACUGAAAACAAACAUUGACUAUAUAAAGGGGAAUGGUUGAUUGGAACAGGUGUGGUGAUUGGAUGAGGGGAACCAGGUGUGCAUAUCUGUGAAGUGAGAGAAUGGAAACAGAAGGGGGAGACAAAAACACAAACCAACAACACCAUAUCUGUAGACCUAUACCCAUAGAGCACUGUACGUAACACCCCCCCCUAAAGAGUCAAACAAAAAGGCCAAACAAAAUUUAGCAACCACUAACCCACAAUGGUUACACCCGGGACAGAGCGUCUGCGAACACAUUUUCGGUGCCCUUUUUGUGGUGGAUCACCAGGUUGUAAUUGGUGAUAAUCAAGGACCAACGCAUUAGUCGUUGGUUGUGAUUGUGCAUGCGAUGCAGCGAUGCAUCUGAGUUAGAACUGCACCAGCACCAAUAGAGCUCGCAUCGACUUCAAUGGAAAAAGGUUUAUUGAAAUCACUGAGCACUUAGUACCGGGGCAUUACAUAAUAGCGCUUUACAGCAUUCAAAAGUGAUUUGACACCUAUCUGACCAGACAAAUCUUACCAAUGGACUGAUCAAGUCAGUCAUCGGGGCUGCAACGGAAGAGAAGUUCCUACAGAACUCCCUCUGUAGUAACCAGUCAUUCCGAGGAAUCGGCGUUAUUCCCGCCGAGUGGUGGGUACUGGAAAAGACAUGAUAGCUGCGAUCUUUGCCUCCAAGGGUCGCACUUGGCCUCCGCCCACCGGUUUACCCAAGUAGGUCACAGUCGCCUUUCCAAACUCACAGCUUUGUUUCUCCGACGCGCCCUGAAACAAGCUCCAUAUCUCACGCGUUGAGCGCCUGCUCAGCAUCUCGCCGUCGUAGACCGAGCUUUAGCAUGUUUGGCAGAGCGCCUUGAGCGCCGUGUACAACCAGUAUGGAUCAACCGAUUAACCAAUUGAUCCAUAUAUAAGGCGCACUGUCGUUUGAGAAAAUUAAAGGCUUUUAAGUGUGCCUUGGAGUGCGGAAAAUCCGGUAUAUUUACUUUAAUACUACAAGAGGGCGCCCCAUUUGACAUUGUUUUGUUUGGCGGUGCCUUAUUUUUACGUUUUAUGUUAUAACAUUUUUAACAAUGUUAUAGUAAAGUGACGGUUUGUAUUGAAAGAUAAAUAUAUAUUUGAUCUUGUUGAGAAAUAAAUGAUAUUAAUAAAAGAAGUUUAUGGUUUUAUGUUGUUGAUUAUGGUGUCUAUAUUUAUUGUACUUUUUGUAAUUGUCUUAAAUAGAACUCGUUUC
Gasterosteus aculeatus aculeatus (three-spined stickleback) is the source of this 18591-nucleotide long non-coding RNA. The record is from Ensembl. Lineage: Eukaryota; Metazoa; Chordata; Actinopteri; Perciformes; Gasterosteidae.